GUAAUCGCAGGUCAGCAUACUGCGGUGAAUACGUUCCCGGGUCUUGUACACACCGCCCGUCACACCACGAGAGUUUGUAACACCCGAAGUCGGUGAGGUAACCUUAGGGAGCCAGCCGCCGAAGGUGGGACAGAUGAUUGGGGUGAAGUCGUAACAAGGUAGCCGUAUCGGAAGGUGCGGCUGGAUCACCUCCUUUCUAAGGAA
This 204-nucleotide ribosomal RNA is filed under the name Exiguobacterium sp. AM39-5BH. RNAcentral describes it as "partial 16S ribosomal RNA". It matches the Rfam family "Bacterial small subunit ribosomal RNA", at positions 1338 to 1533 of the family's 1533-position model. The record is from RNAcentral. Lineage: Bacteria; Bacillati; Bacillota; Bacilli; Caryophanales.